CCUACGGGAGGCAGCAGUGAGGAAUAUUGGUCAAUGGGCGCGAGCCUGAACCAGCCAAGUAGCGUGAAGGAUGACUGCCCUACGGGUUGUAAACUUCUUUUAUAAAGGAAUAAAGUGAGGCACGUGUGCCUUUUUGUAUGUACUUUAUGAAUAAGGAUCGGCUAACUCCGUGCCAGCAGCCGCGGUAAUACGGGGGAUGCAAGCGUUAUCCGGAUUUAUUGGGUUUAAAGGGUGCGUAGGCUGUGAGGUAAGUCAGCGGUGAAAUGCCCCCGCUCAACGGGGUGAAGUGCCAUUGAUACUGGCUUGCUGGAAUGCGGAUGCCGUGGGAGGAAUGUGUGGUGUAGCGGUGAAAUGCAUAGAGAUCACACAGAACACCGAUUGCGAAGGCAUCUCUCGAAUCCGCGAUUGACGCUGAUGCACGAAAGCGUGGGUAUCAAACAGGAUUAGAUACCCCUGUAGUC
RNAcentral lists this ribosomal RNA (461 nucleotides) under uncultured bacterium. RNAcentral describes it as "partial 16S ribosomal RNA". It matches the Rfam family "Bacterial small subunit ribosomal RNA", at positions 338 to 795 of the family's 1533-position model. The record is from RNAcentral.